CUGGGGGGGGGUGGCUUUACACAUGCAAGUCGAACGGGAUCCAUCAGGCUUUGCUUGGUGGUGAGAGUGGCGAACGGGUGAGUAAUGCGUGACCGACCUGCCCCAUACACCGGAAUAGCUCCUGGAAACGGGUGGUAAUGCCGGAUGCUCCGACUCCUCGCAUGGGGUGUCGGGAAAGAUUUCAUCGGUAUGGGAUGGGGUCGCGUCCUAUCAGGUAGUCGGCGGGGUAACGGCCCACCGAGCCUACGACGGGUAGCCGGCCUGAGAGGGCGACCGGCCACAUUGGGACUGAGAUACGGCCCAGACUCCUACGGGAGGCAGCAGUGGGGAAUAUUGCACAAUGGGCGCAAGCCUGAUGCAGCGACGCCGCGUGCGGGAUGACGGCCUUCGGGUUGUAAACCGCUUUUGAUCGGGAGCAAGCCUUCGGGUGAGUGUACCUUUCGAAUAAGCACCGGCUAACUACGUGCCAGCAGCCGCGGUAAUACGUAGGGUGCAAGCGUUAUCCGGAAUUAUUGGGCGUAAAGGGCUCGUAGGCGGUUCGUCGCGUCCGGUGUGAAAGUCCAUCGCUUAACGGUGGAUCUGCGCCGGGUACGGGCGGGCUGGAGUGCGGUAGGGGAGACUGGAAUUCCCGGUGUAACGGUGGAAUGUGUAGAUAUCGGGAAGAACACCAAUGGCGAAGGCAGGUCUCUGGGCCGUUACUGACGCUGAGGAGCGAAAGCGUGGGGAGCGAACAGGAUUAGAUACCCUGGUAGUCCACGCCGUAAACGGUGGAUGCUGGAUGUGGGGCCCGUUCCACGGGUUCCGUGUCGGAGCUAACGCGUUAAGCAUCCCGCCUGGGGAGUACGGCCGCAAGGCUAAAACUCAAAGAAAUUGACGGGGGCCCGCACAAGCGGCGGAGCAUGCGGAUUAAUUCGAUGCAACGCGAAGAACCUUACCUGGGCUUGACAUGUUCCCGACAGCCGUAGAGAUAUGGCCUCCCUUCGGGGCGGGUUCACAGGUGGUGCAUGGUCGUCGUCAGCUCGUGUCGUGAGAUGUUGGGUUAAGUCCCGCAACGAGCGCAACCCUCGCCCUGUGUUGCCAGCACGUCAUGGUGGGAACUCACGGGGGACCGCCGGGGUCAACUCGGAGGAAGGUGGGGAUGACGUCAGAUCAUCAUGCCCCUUACGUCCAGGGCUUCACGCAUGCUACAAUGGCCGGUACAACGGGAUGCGACACGGCGACGUGGAGCGGAUCCCUGAAAACCGGUCUCAGUUCGGAUUGGAGUCUGCAACCCGACUCCAUGAAGGCGGAGUCGCUAGUAAUCGCGGAUCAGCAACGCCGCGGUGAAUGCGUUCCCGGGCCUUGUACACACCGCCCGUCAAGUCAUGAAAGUGGGUAGCACCCGAAGCCGGUGGCCUAACCCUUUGUGGAUGGAAGCCGUUCUAAAAGGGG
RNAcentral lists this ribosomal RNA (1431 nucleotides) under Bifidobacterium pseudocatenulatum. RNAcentral describes it as "bacterial SSU rRNA". It matches the Rfam family "Bacterial small subunit ribosomal RNA". Lineage: Bacteria; Bacillati; Actinomycetota; Actinomycetes; Bifidobacteriales; Bifidobacteriaceae. The record is from RNAcentral.